RNAcentral lists this ribosomal RNA (260 nucleotides) under uncultured bacterium. RNAcentral describes it as "partial 16S ribosomal RNA". It matches the Rfam family "Bacterial small subunit ribosomal RNA", at positions 793 to 1055 of the family's 1533-position model. The record is from RNAcentral.
GUCCACGCCGUAAACGUUGGGCGCUAGGUGUGGGGACCUUCCACGGUUUCCGCGCCGUAGCUAACGCAUUAAGCGCCCCGCCUGGGGAGUACGGCCGCAAGGCUAAAACUCAAAGGAAUUGACGGGGCCCGCACAAGCGGCGGAGCAUGUUGCUUAAUUCGACGCAACGCGAAGAACCUUACCAAGGCUUGACAUCGCCCGGAAACAUCCAGAGAUGGGUGCCUCUUCGGACUGGGUGACAGGUGGUGCAUGGCUGUCGU